Molecule: ribosomal RNA, 188 nt
Filed under: uncultured Bifidobacterium sp.
Lineage: Bacteria; Bacillati; Actinomycetota; Actinomycetes; Bifidobacteriales; Bifidobacteriaceae
Description: partial 16S ribosomal RNA
Rfam family: Bacterial small subunit ribosomal RNA
Source: RNAcentral
CCGCUCUAGAAUAGUGGAUCCCCCGGGCUGCAGCCCAAUGUGGAAUUCGCCCUUUGCCCGCCGCGCGCGGCGGGCGGGGCGGGGGCACGGGGGGCCUACGGGAGGCAGCAGUGGGGAAUAUUGCACAAUGGGCGCAAGCCUGAUGCAGCGACGCCGCGUGAGGGAUGGAGGCCUUCGGGUUGUAAACC